This 484-nucleotide ribosomal RNA is filed under the name uncultured bacterium. RNAcentral's name for it is "partial 16S ribosomal RNA". It matches the Rfam family "Bacterial small subunit ribosomal RNA", at positions 30 to 507 of the family's 1533-position model. The record is from RNAcentral.
AUUGAACGCUGGCGGCAGGCCUAACACAUGCAAGUCGAGCGGAUGAAGGGAGCUUGCUCCUGGAUUCAGCGGCGGACGGGUGAGUAAUGCCUAGGAAUCUGCCUGGUAGUGGGGGAUAACGUCCGGAAACGGGCGCUAAUACCGCAUACGUCCUGAGGGAGAAAGUGGGGAAUCUUCGGACCUCACGCUAUCAGAUGAGCCUAGGUCGGAUUAGCUAGUUGGUGGGGUAAAGGCCUACCAAGGCGACGAUCCGUAACUGGUCUGAGAGGAUGAUCAGUCACACUGGAACUGAGACACGGUCCAGACUCCUACGGGAGGCAGCAGUGGGGAAUAUUGGACAAUGGGCGAAAGCCUGAUCCAGCCAUGCCGCGUGUGUGAAGAAGGUCUUCGGAUUGUAAAGCACUUUAAGUUGGGAGGAAGGGCAGUAAGUUAAUACCUUGCUGUUUUGACGUUACCAACAGAAUAAGCACCGGCUAACCUCGUG